CCGCUGCGAUUGGAGGGGGCCCCCAGCCGCCCGGCUCCACCACUGCCCACGCUGGGGCUCCCGGACUGCGGCCGCGCGGUGCCGGAGCACGAGGGGCACCUCCUCCCGGACCCGGGGUGCAGAAACCCGGCGGAGGCAGGUUCUUGUGAGCAUCCCACGGAAAGGAGCGAGAAGCCGCCACCCUAGCUAACAGCAUUAACAACCACAACCGUCAGGAAUUCUGUUGCCUACGCCUGAAUGCGCAGUGUUUCAGCUGGAGGUAGAAGAUUCUGAGGCACCAGGGCAGGAAAUGGCAAGCCACAAGCCGGAAAGACCCUGGGUCCCUUGAUCACAAUCUGGAAAAGAACCAGAACACUCAUAUUCAACUGUUACAGUGAUUGAGUAAUCAACUUCUGGCAUAUAAUAAGCCACUGAAAUGUGCAAGUUUAUUUGUUGUGGUAGUUCAUGUCAUCCCAACACACCCAUCAACCAAGCCAAACUCCACCAGAGCAUAAUUUUUUCUUUAAAUAGAUACAAUUAAAAUAAUAAAAUAGGCCUAUGUAUGUCAAAAAGACUAUAGCUCCAAAACAAAGGCUAUGUUAAAAAAAAAAAAGGCCAGAGCAAUAAUUUUUAAAUUGAAGUGUAAUUUAUUUAUAGUAAAAUUGGCAAAUUCUAAGUGUUUAGUUUGAUUAAAUUUUACAUUUUUAUACCUAUGUGUAAUGACCACCCAGAACAAGAUAGGCAUUUCCAGCAACCCAGAAAGUUUCUCUAUAGGUCUUCUUUGUUGAUAACCACUCCCUUUGUAGAUGUGAAUGCUAUUUUGACUUCUGUCAUCAUUUAUUAGCUUCACCAGUUCUUGAACAUCAUAUAAAUAGAACCAUACAAUGUGUUCUCUCUUCUCUCUGGUUUCUUUUACUCAAUGUAUGAUUUUUAGAUAAAUCCACAUUAUUUUGUGGAUUAGAAAGUUGUUAUAUUUUUCAUUUCUAUUUGAUAUUCAAUCAUAUAAAUAGACUACAAUUUGUUAGUCAUUCUCCAACUAAGGGAUAUUUGGGUUAUUUCCAGUUUGAGACCAUUACAAAUAAAGUAGCUAUGACAAUUCUUAAAUAAUUCUUUUUGUGGACACAUGCAUUCAUAUCUCUUGGGCAUAUGCUUAGGAGUGGAAUUGCUGGAAUAUAUUAUUUCUUAAUUAUUCUAGUAAAGCUCUCUGAGGUACUAGCACAAUUAUGAGACACUAGAAGAUGAGCAAUUAGCAUUUACUGGCUUCUCUUCAUUCUUACAAUUAUCACAAAUAAAAUAUUCAACAAAGUUAUGUGGAGUUGAACUUGAGUGAAUAAAUAUUAUCCAAUAUUCUAAGUAUAAAAAUCUUCAAAACAAUCAAUAUUCAAAUCUAUGGUGGCCCUAUGUAGCAAUUACAAGCUCAGCUAGUAGCCACAAACUAAAAGCCUAUGCAAAAAUGAAGAUGCUGAUGAAUUAAAGUGCAUCUGGAAAAAGGUGAAUGAAGAAAGGAACUUAGGAAUACCAAAACCCUUUUAAAUUCAAUCUUGAUUUUCAGCUCUCUGAAGGAUAGGUUUAAGAUGAGCUGAGUAAUUGCUAAUUGGACUGUAAUAAGCUAUGUUCGUUGUGAGCACACAAAGUAUAGGGCGUUGUUAAAUUCUUUGCCAAUCAUAGAAGAAAUCUAGUGGUUCAUGACAUACCUCCCCAAAACAUGUCAAUUAAGUGUAUUUCCUUUUUUUUUAGUUAUGUUUAUAUGCAACAAAAGUGGAAAUGUAAUUUUAAAAAAUUCUGUGAAAAUAUCCUUUCUGUUUAGAAAGGGAAUAAAGGUGAAUCUUACUCAUUUUCAUAGAAUGAAUUCUAAUUUAUCUAGAUACAAUAAUACAUAUAUGAUGCUUAUGAUUAUGGGUUAUUUUCAGAUCCUUAAAAACCCUGAAUGAGUCAUAUCUAGAGUGAUAGUCAUAACUUCAAAUUUACUUGUUUUUGUUGGCUUAAAUGAGAUUCUCAAUUUGAGGGCAAUAUAAGUUUAUUCACCUUUUCUAUUUUCAUAUAUUAUGGCUCUCUUUUACAAUAAACUUGCCUCAUCCUAAGUUUACAAAGCACUGCAUAAAAUAGUACAGAUCUCCUUCAGAUGCAACUGCAGACCACAUUUUGGAUAUCUAUAAAUGAUACAUUUGACUCAAUCAAAUUUAGAACUGGCAGAAAAAAACAAGGAAGGCCUGAGUUUCCAUUUAUGCAGACUCAGAGCAAAACCUCCCACUGUGGUUCAUAUCAAAUAAUGGGCUGUUAAAGAUUUGAGCAUUGUGUCUUUGCUGAUCAUUUUGUGCAUGUCACCUAGCUUCUCUACACCUCCGUUUCCUCAUUUGUAAAAAAUGGAGAAAACAAUCAUGCCUGCUUGAUGGUGAUGUUGUGAGAAAUACCUGUGAUCAUAAACAGAUAAUGCAGUACACAGUGUUUGGCACAUAGCAGGUGCUCAAUGAAUAUUAUCUGUUAUUCUUGAAAAAAAAAUUUAUGCUAUUUGAAAGUCCAGAAAAAUGGCAAAGGCCAACAUCUUUUCUUGAAAGAUAAUGUCUUCUAAAUUAAUUAACUCAACAAAUAUUUACAAGUAUUUGUAACAGUAUUUACAAACUGCCUAUUCCUGGGCUGGCACUAUUAUAGGCUCUGGAGAGAGAACAGUGAGCAAAACAAUCAAAAUCCCUCCCCUUGUGGGGCUUACAUGUCUUUGAACAGGAUAUCAAUUCUCUGAAAGAGAAGGGACACUCCUAUCUUGGCAAAGAUUGAGCACAAACUCAGAUACAUGGCUGAAUUCAGAUUUGCAAAAAUAAUAUCUUCUGGCAAAAGACUCCUUUGCUGAUCAACAAGUUCCAGCCUUUCAUGAUGCUCUUUUGGAAGAAAUGACUCCGUUUUUAGAAAAAUAUUUUCAUAUUUUUUUCUGUAGCAUUUCCUAACUACAAACUUCUUAAGUUAGAAUACCUUUCUCUAAUAUUGUUUCUAGACUACCUGAAAUUUUUUUCUAACACAGGUGAAAGUAAAGUCAUCCAGAAAGUUCCAAAUGUUGGAUUUGGCGCUGAGCUUAUCUGAUCUCAGCCAUGCUCUUAAUUACUUGUAUUUCCUUGGCCUAAUCAUUUCUUUCCUAGUCCUCCUAUUCAUAUGAGUAAAUGCAAGGGAUUGGUUUGAUUCCUAAAAUCUCUCUGAGUUCUUACAUUUCAAAAGUAUAUACAAUUUUAUCUCCAUUCAGCGACCAGAAAAAUUACCUUUAUUUUGUGGAGAGCUCUUUACUUUUAUUAACAAUAUUUUUGAGUUUAUUAAAUAAACUAAGAACCUGGGAAAUACAAUUUUUAAAAGCUGGAUCUGGUAUUCUUCUCCACUUCAUGGGGUAAAAAUGAAAUGGGCUCAAGUUCCCUCCAUGAUGGCAGCUUCUUUUGGAAAGACAAGAAAGCAGCUUCUUUUUUCCCCCAUGAUUAUUUUAAUAGCAUUUUCCACUAGAUACAUAAGUCAAAUGUCAGGAAGAUUUUAUUUGCUUGUUUGGAUAAACUAUAGAUUAAAUUUACUAUCACUUUUGGAUUUAAUUAAUUAAUGGCAAGAGAAUUGAUAAAUUCAGGCCAUCACAUAUUCUUUUCUGGUAUUUCAAUGAUUCCUACUCAUUCUUGCACUCAUUCAUGACAUUAAAAAAUGAUGGUGAUGAACAAAAUCAGAAAAGAGCUAAAGAAAUGGAGAGAUAUUCCAUGCUCAUGCAUAGGAAUUGUCAAGAUGUCAGUCCUCCCCAGACUGAUCUGUAGGUUCAAAGCAAUCUCAAUCAAAAUUGCAGCAGUAUUUUGCAGAUACCAACAUCUGAAAGUUUAUGCUAAAGUUUAUAUGGACAGUCAAAAGACCCAGAAUAGACAACACAAUAUUGAAGGAACAAAACAAAGUUGGAGAACUGACACUACCUGACAUUAAGGCUUACUAUAACACUAUAGUAAUCAGGACAAUGUGAUAAUUUAAAAAAAAAUAGCCACAUAGAUCAAUGGAACAGAAUAGAGAGCCCAGAAAUAGAUACCCAUAAAUAUAGUCAACUGACCUUUGACAAAGUAGAAUGGAGCAAAGAUAGUCCCUUCAACAAAUGAUGCUAGAACAACUGGACAUCUAUGUGCAAAAAAAUGAACCUAGAUAUAGACAUUACGUCCUUCACAAAAAUUAACUCAAACUGAAUCAUAGAUCUAAAUUUAGAAUGAAUGCAAAAUUCUCAAACUCUUAUGAGAUAACAUAGGAGAAAACCUAGGUGACCUUGGUAUAGCAAUAACUUUUUAGAUAUAACACCGAAGGCACAGUCCAUGAAGACAGCAUUAAUAAGCUGGACUUCAUUCAAAUGAAAAACUUCUGCUCUGCCGAAGAAAAUGUUAAGAGAAUGAGAAGACAAGCAACAGACUCGGAGAAAAUCUCUGCAAAGACAUAUCUGAUAAAAGACUGUUAUUCACAAUACACAAAGAACUCUUAAAAGUCAGUAGUAGGAAAACAAACCAUCCAAUUGAAAAAUGAGCCAAAGAUUUUAACAGACACCUCGCUGAAGAAGAUACAUAGAUGACAAGUAAGCAUAGGAAAAGAUGCUCCAUGUCUUACAUCAUCAAGGAAAUGCAAAUGGAAACAACAAUAAGAUACUACUACACACCUAUUAGAAUGGCCAAAAUUCAGAACACUAACAACACCAAAUGCUGGCCACGAUGUAGAGCAAGAGGAAUUCUCAUUCACUUCCUGGUGAGAAUACAAAAUGGGACGGCCACUUUGGAAGACAGUUUGGCAGAUUUCACAAAACUAAACAUACUCUUAUCAUUUGAUCCAGCAAUAGUGCUCCUUGGUAUUUAGGCAAAGGAGUUGAAAACUUAGGUCCACACAAAACCUGCACCCAAUUGCUCAUAGCAGCUUUAUUCAUAAUUGCCAAAACUUGGAAGCAACACAGAUAUCCCUCAGUAGGUGAAAGGAUAAAAAACUGUGGUACCUCUAGAUAAUAGAAUAUUAGUCAGUGCUAAAAAGAAGUCAGUUCUCAAGCCAUGAAAAGAAACAGUGAAAUUACUAAAUUUCACUUAGUAAUAUGCAUUACUAAGUGAAAGAAGCCCAUCUGAAAAGGCUACAUACCUUAUGACUCCGACUAUGUGGCGUUCUGAAAAGGGCAAAACU
This is a long non-coding RNA of Mirounga angustirostris (Northern elephant seal), 5124 nucleotides long. RefSeq lists it as uncharacterized. The transcript is spliced from 3 exons. The record is from RefSeq and is a predicted model, not a curated record. NCBI's taxonomy places the organism in Eukaryota, Metazoa, Chordata, Mammalia, Carnivora, Phocidae.